GUAAUCCUUUAGAUGCUGAGUACCCAGGAAGGACCCUGGAAAAGGGCUAGGUGGCCAAAAGUGGAACACCAGUGGUGGUUACUGGCCAUGGUCUGGAAGGAUGACUGGGCUUCAACACCCUAUCCAGCCAUCCCUGGGAGUACUGAUUGGACACGGGGCAUGGGUGUAACUGAAGAUGUGGGCUCUCGUGAGGGGCUCUCAUCUUCUUUCUGCUCUAUCUCCCUAGACCAUCCUCAGCAAGACUUGUAUCUUGCAGAGAUCCAACUCCACAGCAGGUUAAUAAAAAGGGGUAACCUACUGAAGACUUUGGGGGGCCCAGGAGAGAUGCCAGGCAGCAUUCAGCAGAAGCGUCACAGUUCUUCAGGAACCACAGCCCUUCUCUCCCAUCAGCAGCCUCUUCUGUUCUGUCCUCUGCUUCAGCACAGCCUCUAAAGACAUUCUGAGGUGUCCUGUGCAACUCGGCCCUGACAUGGUAACUGUAUAAUUUAUAUUUCAAACUGGGGUUCUCUGAAGUUGAAAAGAGGGCUAUUAACACAUCAGGUCCAAACCCAGCAAACCACUAGCUCUGCCUUAUGCACCCCUCUUGGUGCAGAACAAGCCUGUGGUUUGCUAAAGAGGUUUGCUAUUUCCUCCAUUCUCCUUAGAGACAGGAACAGAUUUCUCUCUGUGGGUCAAUUUGGCUGCUAAGAAAAUAGAUCUGGUCACAAAUGCAGCUCGGAUCCAGCAAUGUUGUGGCUGUGGUACAGGCUCCAGAUGCAUCUCUGAUUCAACCACUUGCCUAGGAACUUCCAUAUGUUGCAGGUGUGGCCCUAAAAGUAAAAAAUAAAAUAAAAUGGACAGUGUGUGUAUCAGGAAUUCCAGUUCAAUCUCAUCUCACCUAAGACCCAUAGGAAGAUGGGAUUUUUUUUCCCCCAUUUUAUAGGAGAUUGACUUGGGAAGGUCCCACUGGUUGGCGGCAGGGCCAGGAACCUACCCAGCUGGCCAUUGUUUCUAAAUGGGAAGAAGUGAGGUCUAUUCAGAGAGCCGUUUACCCCCUAAAAUGAGUGUUCUUCAUAAAUGACUCAACUUCAUGCUGGUGACACUUAACCUUUGCCUUCACAGGCAUUUUCCUUUUUCACAUUGGACCCUUUUGAGAUUUUUCAUCAGUGGGCUGUUUUUGGCUGGUUUUGAUAGCCACAUUUUAUUUACAUGCAAAUUCACAGCAAGCAGUUCGCAUGUAAAUACUAUACUAAUUAUUAAACUUCUAUGGCUCAUCAGAAUGCUGUAUCCUAAUUGGCUGCAAGAUUGCCGAUAACCCACAAUAGCCUGAUUUGGAGCCGGACCAGUUUCUGCAUCUGCAUAAUAAAAAGAAACAAGAGGCUGGGAGAGUGUACAUCUAUUUUAUACGUGUUUCUUCAAGGUCAAAUCAUCUUUUAUUCCCUUCUCAAUCUACAUAUUCAUAAAGACCUUUGUGCAAUUAAUGAGACAGAAGAUUAAAUGGUUGCAGAUUAAGAACAAACCCUACUGUUCUAAUUAGAGUAAAAGUUACUUAGUCAAUCAGAUUAGAAUUCCAAAUUCAAACUAGCUAAUACAGAGGCAGAACAAUGCCAACACACACACACACACACACAGUGCCCCCAGCAGCAGUUUGCACACAGCCACCAGAGCCUGGGCAGGAAAGCCAGGAGCCCUGGUCACAAUUUCUUCCUGUUUUGCAAAGGCCCUUCUGAAGAAGGCCCCCAUUGCUCAGUGUCCCCAGCGAUGGAAGAAGGGAGGAGAGCCAAUGGAUUUCCAUCAUACCACAACACGGCUAUAUUCCUUGAGCCCACUGGUGGUAGAAGAAGUAACAGGGUCUCUCCACAUUGUCUGGGUGAAAGAUUUUUUUUCCCCAGACUCCUCCUUGGGGAACCUUAGGAGUUUGGACAAUCAAUGAGACCUUCAUAGACAAGGUCUUAGUCCACUGGGGCUGGAUGCAGAGAGAUUGAAGACGCUGUCCCUUCUGUCAGGGAGCCUGCAGCUUCCUUCGGAUGUGAAGACUUAUGCAUCUGGAACGGCAGAAAGUGGAGAAGGGUUUGGAUCAAGUUCUUCGCCUAGGUUCCACGGACUCCUCCAGCAGGGUUUCCAAAGUGUGCUCUGGAACCUGCACUGGAACAGCCUGGGACAUGGGCCUAAGGAGAGGUUCCUCAGUUGCACCCCAGAUCAGCUGAUAGGGGCUGGCCAUCUGUAUUCUGAACAAGCUCCACAUGAUUCUGAUGCAUAUUCCCAAAACCACUGGCUUAGAAGAUGCCUAGUUGGAUUUCAGAGAACCCACAAACUCCUGGAUACUGAAAACUUUUGUGUGUGUGUAUGUUUAUCUAGGAAGAGGUUGAUAGUUUCCACUGCUCCUCAACAGUGGCCAUGCCUCAGAGAGGUAAGCCCUGAGAUAGAGGAAAGAGAUUCGGCCAGCAGAACAAAGCCAAGCAGCAGACACUGGCCACCAUAUGACCCAGGAUGGACCCACAAAACCCAGGUUAGUUAGAGGCUUUCCCUGUGCCAUGAGGUAUUGGCAGUUCUUUCCUUCCUAUCCCAGUGGUGCAGGUGACAGCCCCACAGGAGCUCAGAGUAAAGACAGCGUGUGACAAAAUGGCUUGGACAAGUGCUCUUCUGGCAGAGGGGGACUCUCCGGAGGAGGGUGUUUCAGGUGGGGGUGCAGCCCUCAUGCUGGCACACAGGUGGGGGUCAGUACAGCCAGGGUAAGAGCCAGGCAUGGCUUGGCAGCCUGGGAGCUCUGAUGCCUGUCGAUCUCCUCCUUUGUUGUGAAACAGGCCCAGUCUCCCUAUCAAUCCCUCAUCAUUGUCCCAAAACUUGGAGCUUGGUUCCAUUUGCAUCUGAAACAGGUGGUGCUUCUUUGCCUUUGAGCACCUCCCCAGCCCCAGGGAGCACAGAGUCCUCCCGCCUCUGCUCUAGGAUCACUAAUGAGAUCACGUCUGCCUCCUGGGAAGGGCCGAUUAUCCUGCUGCUCUGGGUUAUUACCCUUUACAAGUGGCACUCAGCCUGCCCAGCUGUCUGCCUGCCCCAGGCCACACACACCUGGCCAGGCCAGGGCAGCUGCCAGGAGCCACUCGUUGGCAGCUGACUCCUUAGCGGACACAGCCUCCGGAGUGGGAGGAAUUGGGUGUGGGAAUAGCACCCGGGCCUGCUUGUGCCUUGGGGCCAGUCACAGGAGUAGCAUAUCCUCUCCUGGGCCCCCUCCAACCUGCUCCUCCUGGGUGGUGGGUGGGGACUCUGCAGGCCCUCAAGGCCAGGGGAGCGAUCCUCCCUGUGCAGAGGUCCAGGUGUCUUAGCUGGGAGGGCCGCAUUCUGUAGAAGGCCCUGAGGCCCCUGCCUUGCUCUGCAUGGCGAACCUCCAUCCGGGCCCAUGGGAGCAGGAAAGGGAGGCAGUGACCUUCUCCACACAGGGCUGUGUCCUGAAUUUGGCCCCACUCAGCACAGGGACUUCGCCACCAUCCUUGAAGCUACAACCAGCCUUCUGGGAUUCCCCUGUUGGUCUCUGCCUUUCCCUUGGGUUGGUUCACUCCCAGUCUGGGGUCAGGGUGGGAGACAGAGGAAGGGGCACCCAGGAGGAUUCUCAGGGUACCUGGGACACACCCCACCAUCCACAGGCUAGAGGACUAGAAAUCUCAGUGGCAGGGACCAGGUUGGCUCUUCCCCAUCACGCCUUCCCCACCUUAACCUCCAGCCUCCCUUCCACUCAGCAUGGGCCCCGGGGUGACCAUCUUCCUGUACCCGCACCCCUGUUCUUGUGCAGCUGUUCACAGCCCUCUGGGGGUGUACAGGGCCUUCUGGGAGAUCCACAUGGUUGUCCCUGCCCUUGCCCAGUGAAGGACAGGCCCUCACACUGUGCCUGAACACCUGUCCUCUGGCUUUGAUCUUAGUCCAAACCCAAAGCCUCACAUAUUGUCUUUCAGAUUAUUCAGUGGGGGAGGGGAGGGUAGAGAGGACAGUGGCCUGCAUCUGGGUCGUGGUCUUCACGGUGGGUAAGGGGUAACAAGGCACCCAGAUGACCCCCGCCCCCACAUAGGGUCCAGGGAGUCAGAAGCCUAAAGCUGAUAGCCCAGAGCAGGCCCCUCAGAGCCCCGGCAUUUGCCUGCUGGGGCCGUGGCAUACAGCACCACCGGGGGCUCAAACACAAGUCUGUCUUCUCAUGUUGUGGGGGCCGGAGGUCUGUGAUCAGGGUGUUCUCCCAGGGCGGUGAGGGACAGAUCUGUUCCAGGCCUCCCUCCUUGGUCUGUAGCUGGCUGUCUCUGCUGUGUCCUUAUGGGGGUCCUCCUUCUGUCUGUGACUGUUGUUCAAAUUUCCUCUUCUGAUAAGGAUACUAGUUACAGUGGAUUAGGACACAUUUAAGGACCUCAUUUUAAUAGAGUGACCUUUCAAAAGAAUCUAUCACCAAAUAUGGUUACAUUCAGAGUUCCUGGGGUUAGGACCUCAACAUAUGAAUUUUUUUUGUCCUUCUUAAGGGCACACAAAAGUGCAGCAGAUGGAAAUUCCCAGAUGGAAGUUCCCAGUACUAGAGCUUCAGCCACCGGCCUACACCACGGCCACAGCGACACUGGACCCGAGCCGCAUCUGUAACCUGCAGUGAAGCUCGUGGCAAUAGUGGAUCCUUAACCCCCUGAGCAAGGCCUUGGAUUGAACCCACAUCCUCAUGGACACUAUGUUGUAUUCUUAACCCGCUGAGCCACAGCAGGAACUCCUAACAUAAAAAUUUUGAAGGAAAACACAAUUUAGUCCUGGGAAGGAUUCCAGAGACUCACAAUUUCUCCAGAGCUCACCAAACUCAGGGGCAGAACCUGCACCCCUUUCCUUGGGAGCCCCCAUGUCCAGGUUGAAAUCAGUGGUAAAGGAAGUAAGUGUGUAUCUAGGCUUAAGAAAAGCCACUUGGAGUUCCCGUGGUGGCGCAGUGGUUAACGAAUCCGACUAGGAACCAUGAGGUUGCGGGUUCGGUCCCUGCCCUUGCUCAGUGGCUUAACGAUCCGGCGUUGCGGUGAGCUGUGGUGUAGGUUGCAGACGCGGCUCGAAUCCCACGUUGCUGUGGCUCUGGUGUAGGCCGGUGGCUACAGCUCCGAUUCAACCCCUAGCCUGGGAACCUCCAUAUGCUGCGGGAGCGGCCCAAGAAAAAGCAAAAAAAAAAAAAAAAAAAAAAA
RNAcentral lists this long non-coding RNA (5162 nucleotides) under Sus scrofa (pig). Its description in RNAcentral is "lncRNA (ENSSSCG00055009636.1)". Lineage: Eukaryota; Metazoa; Chordata; Mammalia; Artiodactyla; Suidae. The record is from RNAcentral.